This 369-nucleotide ribosomal RNA is filed under the name uncultured organism. RNAcentral's name for it is "bacterial SSU rRNA". It matches the Rfam family "Bacterial small subunit ribosomal RNA", at positions 526 to 896 of the family's 1533-position model. The record is from RNAcentral.
CGUAGGGUGCAGGCGUUAAUCGGAAUUACUGGGCGUAAAGCGUGCGCAGGCGGCUCCUUAAGUCAGAUGUGAAAUCCCCGGGCUUAACCUGGGAACUGCGUUUGAUACUGAGGGGCUAGAGUGUGGAAGAGGGGGUGGAAUUCCAGGUGUAGCAGUGAAAUGCGUAGAGAUCUGGAGGAACACCGAUGGCGAAGGCAGCCCCCUGGGCUAACACUGACGCUCAUGCACGAAAGCGUGGGGAGCAAACAGGAUUAGAUACCCUGGUAGUCCACGCCCUAAACGAUGUCAACUGGUUGUCGGGGAAGUAAUUCCUUGGUAACGAAGCUAACGCGUGAAGUUGACCGCCUGGGGAGUACGGCCGCAAGGCUA